AUUGAACGCUGGCGGCAGGCUUAACACAUGCAAGUCGAGCGGGGAAGGGUGGCUUGCUACCUGACCUAGCGGCGGACGGGUGAGUAAUGCUUAGGAAUCUGCCUAUUAGUGGGGGACAACAUUCCGAAAGGAAUGCUAAUACCGCAUACGCCCUACGGGGGAAAGCAGGGGAUCUUCGGACCUUGCGCUAAUAGAUGAGCCUAAGUCAGAUUAGCUAGUUGGUGGGGUAAAGGCCUACCAAGGCGACGAUCUGUAGCGGGUCUGAGAGGAUGAUCCGCCACACUGGGACUGAGACACGGCCCAGACUCCUACGGGAGGCAGCAGUGGGGAAUAUUGGACAAUGGGCGAAAGCCUGAUCCAGCCAUGCCGCGUGUGUGAAGAAGGCCUUUUGGUUGUAAAGCACUUUAAGCGAGGAGGAGGCUGCCGAGAUUAAUACUCUUGGAUAGUGGACGUUACUCGCAGAAUAAGCACCGGCUAACUCUGUGCCAGCAGCCGCGGUAAUACAGAGGGUGCGAGCGUUAAUCGGAUUUACUGGGCGUAAAGCGUGCGUAGGCGGCUUUUUAAGUCGGAUGUGAAAUCCCUGAGCUUAACUUAGGAAUUGCAUUCGAUACUGGGAAGCUAGAG
Molecule: ribosomal RNA, 624 nt
Filed under: uncultured bacterium
Lineage: Bacteria
Description: bacterial SSU rRNA
Rfam family: Bacterial small subunit ribosomal RNA
Source: RNAcentral